This 73-nucleotide transfer RNA is filed under the name Rhipicephalus microplus (southern cattle tick). Its description in RNAcentral is "tRNA-Arg". It matches the Rfam family "tRNA". Rfam says of the family: Transfer RNA (tRNA) molecules are approximately 80 nucleotides in length. Their secondary structure includes four short double-helical elements and three loops (D, anti-codon, and T loops). Further hydrogen bonds mediate the characteristic L-shaped molecular structure. tRNAs have two regions of fundamental functional importance: the anti-codon, which is responsible for specific mRNA codon recognition, and the 3' end, to which the tRNAs corresponding amino acid is attached (by aminoacyl-tRNA synthetases). tRNAs cope with the degeneracy of the genetic code in two manners: having more than one tRNA (with a specific anti-codon) for a particular amino acid; and 'wobble' base-pairing, i.e. permitting non-standard base-pairing at the 3rd anti-codon position. The record is from Rfam by way of RNAcentral. Lineage: Eukaryota; Metazoa; Arthropoda; Arachnida; Ixodida; Ixodidae.
GUCCCUGUGGCGCAGUGGAUAGCGCGUUGGACUUCUAAUCCAAAAGUCCCGGGUUCGAGCCCCGGCAGGGAUG